Molecule: ribosomal RNA, 2229 nt
Filed under: Ampithoe ramondi
Lineage: Eukaryota; Metazoa; Arthropoda; Malacostraca; Amphipoda; Ampithoidae
Description: 18S ribosomal RNA
Rfam family: Eukaryotic small subunit ribosomal RNA
Source: RNAcentral
CCUACCUGGUUGAUCCUGCCAGUAGUCAUAUGCUUGUCUCAAAGAUUAAGCCAUGCAUGUCUAAGUCCAAGCUGUGUUUAACACGGCGAGACCGCGGACGGCUCAUUAAAUCAGUCGUGGUCCAAAUGGGCCAAUCCAAGUUACUUGGAUAACUGUGGUAAUUCCAGAGCUAAUACAUGCAACUGAAACCCUGACGCUGUGUGCGUUUGACGUGUUCGCGGACGGGUGCUUUUAUUAGACCAAUCUGCCGAGGGCGUUGAGGACUCUUGCUUGAGGUCUCUUAGUCCUUCGCCUCGCUUUGUGGUGACUCUGGAUAACCAUCAUGCUGAGCGCACGUACCCCUCGUUUCCGAGCUGGGACGGCGCUGCCACUUUCGAGUGUCUGCCUUAUCAGCUUUCAAUCGCUCGUUACACGCGACCGAUGGCUUUGACGGGUAACGGAGAAUCAGGGUUUGAUUCCGGAGAGGCAGCCUGAGAGACGGCUACCACGUCCAAGGACGGCAGCAGGCACGCAAAUUACCCAAUCCCAGCAUCUGGGGGAGGUAGUGACGAAAUCUAACGAUGCGGGCGCCCUUCCAGGGCCCCGCAAUCGGAAUGAGCACUUUCUAAACAACCUGUUGAGAACCUACUGAAGGGCAAGUCUGGUGCCAGCAGCCGCGGUAAUUCCAGCUUCAGUAGCAUAUAUUAAAGUUGCUGCGGUUAAAAGGCUCGUAGUUGGAUGUCAGUGCCGGGCGUCGGUAAGGUGGACGCUGGGGCGUGAGGUUCAAGGGCGUGGUACAUUUGCCUUUGUCCUUCGGGACUUGCGGCGGUGUGUGUCAUGGCUCUCUCACAAGCUCCCGUCCGUAACAAGCCUCCGCGCCCGUGUACAUCAAGGAGAGACCCAUAACCCUUUCUCUCCCUCUUGGGAGAGAAGGGCCGUGUCUCUCGGUGUCACCCUGAGUAAAUCAGAGUGCUCAAAGCAGUCGUAAGGGGCGUUAUGCCCUGUGAACAGUCUUGACGCGGACUGACUUGGUUUUGCAUGGCAUGUCGGAAGACGACGUCGGGGUUUGCUGGCUAUGAGGUGGCACUCCCGUGAGGUGUGUGUGGUAGUGCAAGCCAGCCCCGACGUCAUGAUUAAAAGGGUUUGUCGAGGGCAUUGGUAUUGCGGAGCGAGAGGUGGAAUUCUGUGACCUCCGCAAGACCGUCCGAAGCGAAAGCAUCUGCCAAGGAUACUUUCAUUAAUCAUGAACGAAAGUUAGAGGAUCGAAGGCGAUCAGAUACCGCCCUAGUUCUAACCCUAAACGAUACCAACCAUCAAUCCGCGCGUAGCACCCCUUUUAUACGGGCUCGGCGGGCAGCUCCUUGUUCCCGGGAAACCAGAGUCUUUGGGUUCCGGGGGGAGUCUGGUUGCAAAGCUGAAACUUAAAGGAAUUGACGGAAAGGCACCACCAGGCGUGGCUGCGGCUUAAUUUGACUCAACACGGGCCAUCUCACCAGGCCAGCACUCUAGCAUGAUUGACAGAUUGAGAGCUCUUUCUCGAUUUAGUGGAUGGUGGUGCAUGGCCGUUCUUAGUUGGUGGAGUGAUCUGUCUGGUUAAUUCCGAUAACGAGCGAGACUCUCCCCUGCUAACUAGUCGGUUGGAUCUUGAUUCGCGAGUACUGCGCGCCCCGGUUUGCAAUGGAGGGUGUCUCACUUCGGUGUGUACUUCCCGACAGCGCCCGCCGGUAAGUGCGCACACUCCAAGUCCGCCGCUGUGAUGCUGUAAGUCUUCUUAGAGGGAUACACGGUUCUGAAGCCGUUAGAGACUGAGAGCAAUAACAGGUCUGUGAUGCCCUUAGAUGCUCUGGGCCGCACGCGCGCUACAAUGCCGGGCACAGCAGGUGUUUUUCCUACUCCGAGAGGAGCGGGUAACCCUCUGAAAGCCCUUUUCUGGUUUGCUGCUGCUGGCGCUCUCAUGCGCUGGUAGCAUGUGUGUGGCGUGCUUGGGCCUGGAGCUUGCAAUUUUUCUCCACAAACGAGGAAUGCCUAGUAGCGGUGGGUCACUGAGCCCACCGUGACUCAGUCCCUGCCCUUUGUACACACCGCCCGUCGCUACUACCGAUUGGGUGUACCAGUGAGAGCCUUGGACUGGCGACCGUUGUUGCCCGUGUGGGCACACGGUAUCGACUGAAAGAGGUCCGAACUGGUGCACUUAGAGGAAGUAAAAGUCGUAACAAGGUUUCCGUAGGUGAACCUGCGGAAGGAUCAUUA